This 467-nucleotide ribosomal RNA is filed under the name uncultured organism. Its description in RNAcentral is "partial 16S ribosomal RNA". It matches the Rfam family "Bacterial small subunit ribosomal RNA", at positions 332 to 796 of the family's 1533-position model. The record is from RNAcentral.
UACACUCCUACGGGAGGCAGCAGUGAGGAAUAUUGGACAAUGGGUGGAAGCCUGAUCCAGCCAUCCCGCGUGCAGGAAGACGGCCCUAUGGGUUGUAAACUGCUUUUAUCUGGGGAUAAACCUACUUACGUGUAAGUAGCUGAAGGUACCAGAAGAAUAAGCACCGGCUAACUCCGUGCCAGCAGCCGCGGUAAUACGGAGGGUGCAAGCGUUAUCCGGAUUUAUUGGGUUUAAAGUGUCCGUAGGCGGACUGAUAAGUCAGUGGUGAAAUCCGACAGCUUAACUGUCGAACUGCCAGUGAUACUGUUAGUCUUGAGUAAGGUUGAAGUCGCUGGAAUAAGUAGUGUAGCGGUGAAAUGCAUAGAUAUUACUUAGAACACCAAUUGCGAAGGCAGGUCACUAAGUCUUAACUGACGCUGAUGGACGAAAGCGUGGGGAGCGAACAGGAUUAGAAACCCGUGUAGUCC